This 326-nucleotide RNase P RNA is filed under the name bovine gut metagenome. Its description in RNAcentral is "Bacterial RNase P class A". It matches the Rfam family "Bacterial RNase P class A". From Rfam's summary of the family: Ribonuclease P (RNase P) is a ubiquitous endoribonuclease, found in archaea, bacteria and eukarya as well as chloroplasts and mitochondria. Its best characterised activity is the generation of mature 5'-ends of tRNAs by cleaving the 5'-leader elements of precursor-tRNAs. Cellular RNase Ps are ribonucleoproteins. The record is from RNAcentral.
AGUAAGUCAGACAGUCGCGGCGGCGCGAAAGUGCCGACGAGGAAAGUCCGGGCUUCACAGGGCAGGGUGCCGGGCAACUCCCGGUAAAGGCGACUUUAAGGAUAGUGCAACAGAAAUAGACUACCGUUAGCGGUACAGGUGGAAAGGCGAGGUAAAAGCUCACCGGCGGGCAGGAGACUGCCCGGCCGUGUAAACCCCACCCGAAGCAACACCGACAGGGAUGGCGGCCCGUCAUAUAAUCCCGAAGGGUGGCUUGAGCGGUAUAGUAAUAUACCGCCUAGAAAGAUGGCUGUUUGAUACAGAACCCGGCUUACAGACUUGCUCAU